Long non-coding RNA from Dermacentor silvarum, 334 nucleotides. RefSeq lists it as uncharacterized. The record is from RefSeq and is a predicted model, not a curated record. The transcript is spliced from 4 exons. Lineage: Eukaryota; Metazoa; Arthropoda; Arachnida; Ixodida; Ixodidae.
AAACACGUUGUCCACAUCUUUUCUAAGGUCCCUUCAGAGUGGGAGAAAGUAAUUGCAGAUCGAGUUCCUGAGAUCGGCUCAGCUUGAAUAUGGCGCUUAUAAGCUACACUGCCUUCGUAUUUUUGACAUGGUGCUCUUCUGUAGCCGGUUCGGAACAAGUUGCUGCACAAAGCCCUGAUGCAAUGGUUGGCAAGAUGCUUCGAGAUACCCAGCCUCUCGUGUUGGUCUUCGGAAAUCAAAUGCCAGAAAGCGUGAAGCAACACUGCUGCUUUACUUCCGUAAAGAUCGGCAGUGCCGGAGCUGAUUUUCACCACAACGUAGAAGCCAGGUCACC